Molecule: long non-coding RNA, 460 nt
Filed under: Elaeis guineensis (African oil palm)
Lineage: Eukaryota; Viridiplantae; Streptophyta; Magnoliopsida; Arecales; Arecaceae
Description: long non-coding RNA (EGUI_LNC059229)
Source: RNAcentral
GCUUGAGAAGAUAUGAAAUGUGUUGGAGAAAAUCACUCUUGAAAGCUCUCAGAAAUCAGUACAUAAAUUUCUCUUUCUCACUUUUCAAAAAUAUUCAAUGAUGCUCACACAAAAUAGAGUAUUUUCCUCUCUAAUCCUCCUUAUGAAGGAAAGCCAGGGCAGUUCAUGCAAGAUUUUCAAAAAAUUUCAUGCAAUGGAAGUAAACCUGAUUAAACUAUUUAAUCUACCAUGCACUAGAUCUAAUCUAUAACUACCUAAGCCAGGAUCUUAUGAUGUAAACAUGCAUGUAUAAUCUAAAAAUAAUAUAAAAAAUAAUUAGAUCUAAUCAAAUUAUGAUAGAGAUUGGAUCUCUAUACCUGAGUGUGGAUCGAAGAUCACCAUAGCUGAUAUCCAUAGAUUUUAGAUUCUUCCUAGCCGUACAUGUAUUCGACCUCUACAAAUAUCCAUACAAAGCACGAUC